GAUGAACGCUGGCGGCGUGCCUAAUACAUGCAAGUCGAGCGAACGGACGAGAAUCUUGCUUCUCUGAUGUUAGCGGCGGACGGGUGAGUAACACGUGGAUAACCUACCUAUAAGACUGGGAUAACUUCGGGAAACCGUAGCUAAUACCGGAUAAUAUUUUGAACCGCAUGGUUCAAAAGUGAAAGACGGUCUUGCUGCCACUUAUAGAUGGAUCCGCGCUGCAUUAGCUAGUUGGUAAGGUAACGGCUUACCAAGGCAACGAUGCAUAGCCGACCUGAGAGGGUGAUCGGCCACACUGGAACUGAGACACGGUCCAGACUCCUACGGGAGGCAGCAGUAGGGAAUCUUCCGCAAUGGGCGAAAGCCUGACGGAGCAACGCCGCGUGAGUGAUGAAGGUCUUCGGAUCGUAAAACUCUGUUAUUAGGGAAGAACAUAUGUGUAAGUAACUGUGCACAUCUUGACGGUACCUAAUCAGAAAGCCACGGCUAACUACGUG
This 497-nucleotide ribosomal RNA is filed under the name uncultured bacterium. RNAcentral's name for it is "partial 16S ribosomal RNA". It matches the Rfam family "Bacterial small subunit ribosomal RNA", at positions 28 to 507 of the family's 1533-position model. The record is from RNAcentral.